AAUACAAGUAAAUACAGAGGGUCCUCACUUUGCGACCUACCUGUUUUUUGACGGCUCGCACUUACAACCAGCUCUCUAGCGUGGGGAUUCAAGGGAUUCCCCACGUUAGAGAGCUGGUCUAUGUUGGGUGAAUUUUCCCCAAACAUAGAUUACAGGGAUUCCCUGCUCUGAUGUGUAUGUCUACGUUCGAGAAAAUUUCCCUGAACAUAUAAAAACGCACCAGAGCAGG
Non-coding RNA from Pelobates cultripes (western spadefoot toad), 229 nucleotides. The record is from the annotation of a GenBank genome assembly. NCBI's taxonomy places the organism in Eukaryota, Metazoa, Chordata, Amphibia, Anura, Pelobatidae.